RNAcentral lists this ribosomal RNA (450 nucleotides) under uncultured bacterium. RNAcentral describes it as "partial 16S ribosomal RNA". It matches the Rfam family "Bacterial small subunit ribosomal RNA", at positions 29 to 523 of the family's 1533-position model. The record is from RNAcentral.
AACGAACGCUGGCGGCAGGCUUAACACAUGCAAGUCGAACGGGUGCAGCAAUGCAUCAGUGGCAGACGGGUGAGUAACACGUGGGAACCUUCCUAGGGGUACGGAACAACUCAGGGAGACUUGAGCUAAUAUCGUAUACGUCCGUGAGGAGAAAGAUUUAUCGCUCUUAGACGGGCCCGCGUCGGAUUAGCUAGUUGGUGGGGUAACGGCCGACCAAGGCGACGGUACGUAGCUGAUCUUAGAGGAUGAUCAGCCACACUGGGACUGAGACACGGCCCAGACUCCUACGGGAGGCAGCAGUGGGAAUCUUGGACAAUGGGCGCAAGCCUGAUCCAGCCAUGCCGCGUGAGUGAAGAAGGUCUUCGGAUUGUAAAGCUCUUUUGCCAGGGACGAUAAUGACGGUACCUGGAGAAUAAGCCCCGGCAAACUUCGUGCCAGCAGCCGCAGUAA